AAGAGUCUGUCUCUGUCAGUGAGGUAAGUCUCUGCAAAAAGAGAAAAUACAAACCGCACUCCAAUCAAGUGAAGAUCCGGGUGCUAAACUGGACAAAGGGCCAGCACCAGCCCCAGGGAGUAGAUAUCAGUAGUAGAAAGAGGAUCCAGGGACUCCAAGUAUCUUCAAAUGUGUUUAUUGGGACAAGUGAAAUGUCGCAACGUUUCAACCCCUGAAAGGGUCUUUUUCAAGCUUGACAAAGACCUUUCCAGAGAUCGAAACAUUGCGGUCUAUCACUUGUGCCAAUAAACACAUUUGAAGAUACUUGGAGUGCCAGGAUCCUCUUUCCACCAGUGAGGUAGGUCUUAAUGGAACGCCCUCUUUGGUAACCAUUAGGGCUCUUGGCAGGGUUCAUCGGUAUUCAAUGCCUGCUGAACAUAAUUGAUUUGUCACUGGUCCUAGUGAUCAGCCCCAUAGUAGAGUAUUGCAUGUUAGGUCUUGAUAGAAGGUGAGUUGAGAUGACUCAAAAGGUAAGCAGGGUCUUUCCCCUGACUCCUGCCAGGGUUUGUUUUUUGUCAUUUAAGGAUUGACAUUGGAUAAUAACAUAAUGGGAGGCCGUAGCUGGUGCCAUCAAACAUAAUAUUUUUUGCCUGUGCUUGCGGUAUGAGUAUGUUGGUGAGGCAUCUGAGGUAAUAAGGCAAUUCUGAUGGGCCAAUGGAAUAAGGGAUAACUUGAAAAUUGAGGUUGUUGCGUCUGGUACGGUCCUCAGACAGAUCAACUCUGGUUGUGAGAGAAAAUUGGGAAGACUGCAUCAUGUGUACAGUUUCUUUUAGGCCCUGUAUGUCUUGUCUCAGGUCUUGAAUGUCUUCUUCAGAAGAAUGAGUGUGUGCUGUCCCGGCUUGGACUUUGGUCCUUAUCAGAUGUAUAUCUGCAGCAUGAAUCUGUCGCUUUUCCUGUAGUAAAUCUGCAAUGUCUCAUUUAGUGGCAGGAGUUAUAUUAUUUCGACUUGCCAUCUCUGCCCAAGGUUAUCGGGUUAUGGGGGGCUCCAUCGGUACCUCCGUAGUCACCUCCAACCCGUUCGGGCUUUGUCUGUGGUCUGCCAACUUAGAUGUUGCAGUAUUUCCCCAAUAUUCAGGGUGUCUUUGCUCGCACCCGGUUGUGGUCUUUAAGAUCUCCUGCCCACGGUUUCUGUUUCCCUCAUGGAAAGCAUGCUCAGAGCCUGGGGUGAGUAUAGAGCUGUGGCUGUCGUUGCCUCCAGUGUGACCCUUUGUGAUAUGGAACAUGAGGUAGGCCCCAGAUCUUCGUCAGGUUUUCUUACCAGAUUGCUGGUACAGAAAUGGCAUUGGCGUGUGGUUCAUACCUAAGGGGUGUUAAGGCAAGUUUUCACACACUUGGAUGGCACUGUGGGACUUCAGAUUAUCGCUGAUUAGUAGAGAUGUCGCGAACUUCCCGCGAACGGCUCGCCACGGUUCGCCACGAACCGUUCGCGGCGAGCUCCGUUCAGCUGACACAUCCCAGCCAAUCUCCAGCAGACCCUCCUUCCCAGACCCUCCCACCUCCUGGACAGCAUCCAUGUUGAAGCUGCCUUCAACAUGGAUGCUGUCCAGGAGGUGGGAGGAUCUGGGAGGGAGGGUCUGCUGGAGAUUGGCCGGGAUGUGUCAGCUGACCGGAGCUCGCCACGAACGGUUCGUAGCGAACCGUGGCGAGCCGUUCGCGAGCCGUUCGUGGGAAGUUCGCGAACGAUUCGCGACAUCACUACUGAUUAGUCGACGAGUAUCAGGAGCUUUACUGAGUAGCUUCCAUUCCGCUCAGGCGCUCGGCGCCACCCCUUUUUUAAAAAUUUUUUUUACUGUAAUACACAAUUUUUUGGUUUGUGAUUUUAAAAAGUUUCAUUUAGCAACUCAUGCAAGAAGGGUCUCUUAGAAGAGUAUUACUCGAGUAUUUAAAUGGGAAUUGUCCAAUCUCAUGAAAUUACAUAAUUGAAUAAAAAGCUGAACAUCACCUAUAGUGCUCAUGCCAUUGUACAGACCACUGGUGAGACCUCACUUGGAGUAUUGUACGCUGUACUGGAGACUGUAUCUUCAGAAGGAUAUUGAUACUUUAGAGAGAGUUCAGAGAAGGGCUACUAAACUGGUUCAUGGAUUGCAGAAUAAAACUUACCAUGUAUAGCUUGGAGGAAAGACGAUACAGGGGGGAUAUGAUAGAAACAUUUAAAUACAUAAAGGCAAUCAACACAGUAAAGGAGGAGACUAUAUUUAAAAGAAGAAAAACUACUACAACAAGAGGACAUAGCCUCAAAUUAGAGGAGCAAAGGUUUAAAAAUAAUAUCAGGAAGUAUUACUUUACUGAGAGGGUAGUGGAUGCCUGGAAUAGCCUUCCAGCAGAAGUGGUAGAGGUUAACACAGUAAAGGAGUUUAAGCAUGUGGGAUAGGCAUAAGGCUAUCCUAACUAUAAAAUAAGACCAGGGACUAAUAAAAGUAUUUAGAAAAUUGGGCAGACUAGAUGGGCCGAAUGGUUCUUAUCUUCCAUCACAUUCUAUGUUUCUAUAACUUGUUUUAUAUUCUAAUUAUGUUUCAUUUUUUUUCUAAAUGUAUAUUACAGAUUUGUCGACUGACUUCAAUCCACUCACAGUCAGGGCACACGUUGCAUUGGGGGAGAAAAUCCAGAAGCAUUAUAUCUGUCUCUCCUCAACUCCCUAUUCUCAGUCAAUACUGACUGACAGGUGCAAAGGACAGAACUAAUAACAGUGACUGACAGGGAGCCAAGAUGGAGGCACAAAGUUCCAAUGAGGAAACUACAGCUUUGUGAAUUAAAGCAGUUGUGUCUAGCAUGUUAAAUGUUCUUAGGUUGGCCAAAAAAUGCCUAGAUGUUUUAAGCACUCAUUGAGUUAAUUCAUUUUUUAUUUGCACAAAUGACCUACAUUUUUUUUUUACCAGUUCUGCCUUGUGUAGAUCAUUUUGAGCUCUGGAGACACAUUGAACUUAUUUUACUUCUGGCCAAGAUUUCAUCAAGUGUUAUACAUACCGUAGCUAAUUUAAAA
Non-coding RNA from Pelobates cultripes (western spadefoot toad), 3019 nucleotides. NCBI's taxonomy places the organism in Eukaryota, Metazoa, Chordata, Amphibia, Anura, Pelobatidae. The record is from the annotation of a GenBank genome assembly.